UAACCAACAAGAAUCUCACCCUUGAAUGAACUCCUCCAGUUACCGUCCCAAACAACCUCAGCUGACCCGUCACCUUCCUCAUUCUCCAACGCUGUCCAGCAACCGAACAACCCUCAAACGACCAGCAACCAUCAGUCACAACCAGCUGAAGGCCAUCCGCAACAGUGAGCUCGUUAUCUCUUCUUCUUCAAGCCCAAACGACAACUCCUUCUCCUCCAAUCUCCAUCGCCAGCCUCUCCUCAUCUCAAAACCUCCAGAAACGACCAGCCUGUGCAACCAUGAAACCACUCUUAAGGUUGCCGUUCAUGUUAUGAGUUCCGUUCGAGGUUUCCGUUAGCGAUUUCGCAGUCUCCGGUCGAAGGUUUCCGGUUUGGUCGAGUUUUAUUUGCGGUUCUGGGUUCAACUUGUUAUUGCUUUCUUGGACGGAUUUUGGAGUCAAGAUAUGUGUAAUUGCUGACUUUCUUUGUUAUUGAGGCACAAAGGGGAUUGAAUUUGACUGCUAGUUUAUUGGAUAUCAACUUCCGUUUGGUUUUUGUUUGGAUCGUCAGAUUCACCUAUUUUUACUGUUAGGUAAGUCUCUCAUUUCUCUAUAUUUUUGUUUCCUUUGUGCUGCUAAUAUGAUAUUGUGGUUCGAUAUAUAGAAAUAAGGGAUGUGUCAUGUAGAAUUAUUGAUCUUUGUAGGAUGAAAAUGAAUCCAUGCCUUGAAUAAGCAUAUGCACAUCUUCAUAUCUGGUAUUGUGGUCCGACAGAUAGAAACAAUGGAUGUGUCAUGUAGAAUUAUUGAUCUUUCUAUGAUGAAAAUGAAUUCAUGCCUUGAAUAAGCAUAGACACGUCCUCAUAUACUGAUGUACAUGUGUAUCAUGCAUAUUUUAGUCCCAUUUCCACGUUUUUAUAUAAAUAUAUGCAGUGGCAUGUAAACUUUGAAAUAUUUUCAGCUUAUUUUCUUAGCUCUCCUAGUAAUGUGGAUCAAUGUUCCUUGCUAAUAUUUGUUACUGUGUAAAUAUAUUUUGGCUAGCAUUAUGUAAAAACAGAAUAUGCAAAUUGAUAAUGUCAAAGAAUAUAUUGAUUCCAUAUCAAUUUAUUAGAAAAAUCAUGGCCCUCACUUAAUUAAUUUUAACCAUAUAGAAAUCGGGACGUGCCAUUAGUUGGAUUUUUCAUGGCCCUCGCAAAGUAAAAAAAAAUAUUGUAGUUGCAUUAGGUUUGCCUUUCAAAUAAUAAAAUGAGACGAGUCUUUCCCAAUAAAUUGCAAAUUGCGGGGCCCUCUAUACAUGUUUGUUAUGCAAGAUUGCUUAGACACCGGAACGGGCCGUUUAAACAAAAGUCCACGGCCUCGCCCAAAAUAAUACUGCGCUAGUCGCUUAGGGCGCGUCUUUAAUGAAGUUACUUCCCUAAAUACGGGCAUGCAUUUAUGCAACCCAAAUCCAAAUAUCAACGAAGUCGAAAUGUGUCGAUGACCACGCGUACACUGGUUGUGACGUGGUUUGAGACAUUUUUCAUGACGUUGCAAUUCUUUUCCAAAAUGACAACAAUAAUAAUUAAAAGAGCCUUGACUUGCACUAAUUACAUAACUGUUAAAAUCAGAUAAAUAAGCCGAAUACGACAGUUGAGCGACCGUGCUAGAACCACGGAACUCGGGAUUGCCUAACAUCUUCUCCCGGAUUAACAGAAUUCCUUAUCCGGAUUUCUGGUUCACGGACUGUCGUACAGAGUCAAUAUUUUCCUCGAUUCGGGAUUCAAACGGUGACUUGGGACACCAUAAAUCUCCCAAGUGGCGACUCUGAAUCUUUAAUGAUAAAUUCCAUUUCGAUUAUCCUUUAAUUGAAAACACUCCCUUGCGCCCCGCAAUGGCGGAAAAAGGAGGUGGUGCAACCAUGACUUUAGGAUUUUUUUUUUGUGUGUUGGGACUAUGCAACAUGUAUUUAUGAUUAUGUCCAUUUUUUCAUGUAAAAUAAUUGAUCGACUCCUAUUGGGCUGAAAUUUUGUAGGUCCAUAGGAAACGAACUAGUGACCAAUACUCAUUGCUUUGCCAUGGCUUUCAGCUUCAUUUUAUGGUGUUUUGUGGUCAUGC
This 2068-nucleotide long non-coding RNA is filed under the name Nicotiana benthamiana. RNAcentral's name for it is "long non-coding RNA (NBEN_LNC008361)". The record is from RNAcentral. Lineage: Eukaryota; Viridiplantae; Streptophyta; Magnoliopsida; Solanales; Solanaceae.